Molecule: ribosomal RNA, 482 nt
Filed under: uncultured bacterium
Lineage: Bacteria
Description: partial 16S ribosomal RNA
Rfam family: Bacterial small subunit ribosomal RNA
Source: RNAcentral
AUUGAACGCUGGCGGCAUGCCUUACACAUGCAAGUCGAACGGUAACGGGCCUUCGGGUGCCGACGAGUGGCGAACGGGUGAGUAAUACAUCGGAACGUGCCCGAUCGUGGGGGAUAACGAGGCGAAAGCUUUGCUAAUACCGCAUACGAUCUACGGAUGAAAGCAGGGGACCGCAAGGCCUUGCGCGGACGGAGCGGCCGAUGGCGGAUUAGGUAGUUGGUGGGGUAAAAGCUUACCAAGCCGACGAUCUGUAGCUGGUCUGAGAGGAUGAUCAGCCACACUGGGACUGAGACACGGCCCAGACUCCUACGGGAGGCAGCAGUGGGGAAUUUUGGACAAUGGGCGCAAGCCUGAUCCAGCCAUGCCGCGUGCAGGAUGAAGGCCUUCGGGUUGUAAACUGCUUUUGUACGGAACGAAAAGCAUUCUUUUAAUACAGGAGGGUCAUGACGGUACCGUAAGAAUAAGCACCGGCUAACUACGUG